ACGGAAGGCAGCAGUGGGGUAUAUUGCACAAUGGGCGAAAGCCUGAUGCAGCAACGCCGCGUGAGGGAAGACGGUUUUCGGAUUGUAAACCUCUGUCUUUGGUGAAGAUAAUGACGGUAGCCAAGGAGGAAGCCACGUCUAACUACGUGCCAGCAGCCGCGGUAAUACGUAGGUGGCAAUCGUUUUCCGGAAUUACUGGGUGUAAAGGGAGCGCAGGCGGGACGGCAAGUUGGAUGUGGAAUACCGCAGCUUAACUGCGGAGCUGCAUCCAAAAUUGUCGUUCUUGAGUGGAGUAGAGGCAGGCGGAAUUCCGAGUGUAGCGGUGAAAUGCGUAGAUAUUCGGAGGAACACCAGUGGCGAAGGCGGCCUGCUGGGCUAUAACUGACGCUGAGGAUCGAAAGUGUGGGGAGCAAACAGGAUUAGAUACCCUGGUA
RNAcentral lists this ribosomal RNA (434 nucleotides) under uncultured Oscillospiraceae bacterium. Its description in RNAcentral is "bacterial SSU rRNA". It matches the Rfam family "Bacterial small subunit ribosomal RNA", at positions 341 to 792 of the family's 1533-position model. The record is from RNAcentral. Lineage: Bacteria; Bacillati; Bacillota; Clostridia; Eubacteriales; Oscillospiraceae.